Long non-coding RNA from Salvelinus namaycush (lake trout), 1674 nucleotides. RefSeq lists it as uncharacterized. The transcript is spliced from 3 exons. The record is from RefSeq and is a predicted model, not a curated record. Lineage: Eukaryota; Metazoa; Chordata; Actinopteri; Salmoniformes; Salmonidae.
GCAGGAACCCUGGUGGAGUUGAGGAGGAGUGCUAUGAGAACGACUUGGUUCAGGUGCUGGAGGAUGAGCUGAAGAUGGGGGAACUACUAAAACACAGACGGGAGCAAGAGAAAACCCAUAUGGUGACUUUGCAGCAAUGACCUUGUUUAACAAGUCUCCUGGUAAGCAAUAUGAAAAGCCACAAAAGUAGAAAAACACUGGAAGAUGGAUGAGAAGAGAAGGCAUAUAGAGAAGGCUGUGAAGAGAUGAUGGUCCACAUGCAUGCAAGACGAGCUAAAAAAGAAGUGACAAGGAGGAAGGAUCAAAGUUAUGACACUGCUAAAUCCAACAAUAGAAUACAUAGUUAUAUUAUGUAAAGAUCUAUUUUUUAAACCAACAGCAUUUUUAAGUGAAUACUGUGAACCGAUAUGGAGGGAUUAUUAAACAAAACAGCUGUCUAUUAUACCACCGGUGCCAUAAAAUCAAAUAACUUUGUUGAGAAUUAUUUGAUUUUUAAUCAUAUUAUUUUUGGGUAUGAGUUGUUGAAGAAUUGUGCAAGUAUAUGCUGUAGUUCAAUUUUCCCUGGGGCCACAUUCGGUCUUCAACGAGGGUCGCACUGAAUUGUUUAAAAUAUUUCCUUGCUGUCUAAAUUUGCAAAAAAUUGUCCUCUAUCCAUCAUUUUGGGAAUUUUCUAUGCUCUCUGACUGUUUAGUGUUUAUUAGCAAGCUGGACUGUCAAGAAACUGUAUGAGUAUAGGUCCAAUAUAAUUUCUACCCAGUUUUGCUUAGAUUUUAGUCCUUUUUUUCAUUUUAAAGUAUAUUUUUACUCAAACCACCCACGGGCCUGAUUGGACACCCUCCGACCUGCGGGCCGUAUGUUUGACACUCCUGCUGUAUUUGUAUUGCUGGUGAGAUUGCUUUUUAAACCAAAUAGUAAACUUGGUAUAUGUGUAAACUGAGGCACAACUGUCUAUAACCCAGAGGGUAGCUACAGUAUGUCUGACGCUAUGACCUGGUUGGCCCAUCAGUCGAAUGAUACUGGUGUUGUAUCGCUUUUGUAUUUGUUGUUUGACCGUUUAGCUUUUUGAUUGACCUAUUGAAAGAGUGGCUUGUCAGAUAGUUUAUUUUAUUUGCCUUAGCUGGUUAGCCUAGCUCACCUUUGGAUGGGGUACAGUCAGACCAUCAAUGCAGCAUGUACUGUAGCUAACAUUGUUCCAGCCACUGAUAAAUUUACUUUCACUGUCAAAAUCACUUUGUUUAUUUCACCCACAAGUAUUGCCUAGUAGUUAAUAGUACUGUAUUACGUAAUACAACUUUGCAGCAGAGGAACAAUGUUAUUUGCCUUCUUCUGCAUGUUGUGUUUGCCACAUUGCAAAUUUUAUUUAAUUCCUGCUGGAGUAUUAAGCCGUUAGGCGAUACUAAGAGAAUGAGACAGUAAAAGACAAAGAAGCUGAACCUAUGAUACAUCUAAUGCUGGAAAGUGAUAUUGUCUACUGAAGGAUUUUGUUAACUAAUAGCUAUACAUUGAUUAAGAGUUAUAGUUGAGUUUAUUUUAUUAAUAGCUGCUUGAGAUUUGAAGAUGUGACGACAUAAAUUAAAUUGGAGUAGGGAGUACAGUACGUAGACAGUACAUAGAAUGGACAGUACAGUACAUACAGUGAGGGAAAAAAGUAUUUGAUCCCCUGCUGAUUUUGUA